This 468-nucleotide ribosomal RNA is filed under the name uncultured bacterium. RNAcentral describes it as "partial 16S ribosomal RNA". It matches the Rfam family "Bacterial small subunit ribosomal RNA", at positions 28 to 507 of the family's 1533-position model. The record is from RNAcentral.
GACGAACGCUGGCGGCGUGCUUAACACAUGCAAGUCGAACGGAAAGGCCCUGCUUUUGUGGGGUGCUCGAGAGGCGAACGGGUGAGUAACACGUGAGUAACCUGCCCUUGACUUUGGGAUAACUUCAGGAAACUGGGGCUAAUACCGGAUAGGAGCUCCUGCUGCAUGGUGGGGGUUGGAAAGUUUCGGCGGUUGGGGAUGGACUCGCGGCUUAUCAGCUUGUUGGUGGGGUAGUGGCUUACCAAGGCUUUGACGGGUAGCCGGCCUGAGAGGGUGACCGGCCACAUUGGGACUGAGAUACGGCCCAGACUCCUACGGGAGGCAGCAGUGGGGAAGAUUGCACAAUGGGCGGAAGCCUGAUGCAGCAACGCCGCGUGCGGGAUGACGGCCUUCGGGUUGUAAACCGCUUUCGCCUGUGACGAAGCGUGAGUGACGGUAAUGGGUAAAGAAGCACCGGCUAACUACGUG